Molecule: ribosomal RNA, 440 nt
Filed under: uncultured bacterium
Lineage: Bacteria
Description: partial 16S ribosomal RNA
Rfam family: Bacterial small subunit ribosomal RNA
Source: RNAcentral
CCUACGGGGGACAGCAGUGGGGAAUAUUGCACCAUGGGGGAAACCCUGAUGCAGCGACGCCGCGUGAGUGAGGAAGUAUUUCGGUAUGUAAAGUUCUAUCAGCAGGGACGAAAAUGACGGUACCUGACUAAGAAGCACCGGCUAACUACUUGCCAGCAGCAGCGGUGAUACGUAGGGGGCAAGCAUUAUCCGGAUUUACUGGGUGUAAAGGGAGCGUAGACGGCUAAUCAAGUCAGAAGUGAAAACCCAGGGCUCAACCUUAGGACUGCUUUUGAAACUGAGUAGCUAGAGUGCUGGAGAGGUAGGCGGAAUUCCUAGUGUAGCGGUGAAAUGCGUAGAUAUUAGGAGGAACACCAGUGGCGAAGGCGGUUUACUGGACUGUAACUGACGUUGAGGCUCGAAAGCGUGGGGAGCAAACAGGAUUAGAUACCCGAGUAGUC